CAUUACUCUAUCAGUUAAUCUUCUACGAUCAAUAUGGUGGAUUAUCUCGAGCUCCGCAGUAUUUAUUGCUGCACGACCUAUGAUGUGAAAGUAUUGUCGCACGUUCUACAAAAUGAUAAAGUGAUGGUUCACUCCAUGAAGCAAUAAGACAGUCGAACACUGUCUACGAGCGCUGCAGUAUUAAAUGAAGGAUAGUCGAAAAAAGUGACUUGGAUCUACGAUGAUAAACUCCCUUCACUCGAUAAAACUACGCAAUCAAACUCGGGAGUCGGGGGGCAGGUGUUGGGGUUGAUCCUCGUCACUUAACUAACUACCCUACUUCCUCGACUCUCAGCUGACUAAGGGAGCUACACCAACUAGGCUACUACGAUUC
RNAcentral lists this long non-coding RNA (373 nucleotides) under Elaeis guineensis (African oil palm). Its description in RNAcentral is "long non-coding RNA (EGUI_LNC017781)". Lineage: Eukaryota; Viridiplantae; Streptophyta; Magnoliopsida; Arecales; Arecaceae. The record is from RNAcentral.